Molecule: ribosomal RNA, 440 nt
Filed under: uncultured bacterium
Lineage: Bacteria
Description: partial 16S ribosomal RNA
Rfam family: Bacterial small subunit ribosomal RNA
Source: RNAcentral
CCUACGGGGGACUGCAGUGGGGGAUAUUGCACAAUGGGGGAAACCCUGAUGCAGCGACGCCGCGUGUGGGAAGACGGUCCUCUGGAUUGUAAACCACUGUCCCCAGGGACGAAAAUGACGGUACCUGGGGAGGAAGCUCCGGCUAACUACGUGCCAGCAGCCGCGGUAAUACGUAGGGAGCGAGCGUUGUCCGGAAUUACUGGGUGUAAAGGGAGCGUAGGCGGGGAUGCAAGUUGGGUGUCAAAACUACCGGCUCAACUGGUAGUCGCACUCAAAACUGCAGCUCUUGAGUGAAGUAGAGGCAGGCGGCAUUCCUAGUGUAGCGGUGCAAUGCGUAGAUAUUAGGAGGAGCACCAGUGGCGAAGGCGGCCUGCUGGGCUUUUCCUGACGCUGAGGCUCGAAAGUGUGGGGAGCACACAGGAUUAGAUACCCGGGUAGUC